AGCCAGGAGCACCAGCCCCCUGGCAGCCAGCUCUGGGAACUCAUUGGGGGAUGGAAAGGCUGACCUGAGCUCCCUCUUGAAGGCUUGGGGAGGCUCAGGUCUGGACAGCUGUGUCUAGAUGUGGAGGAGACAGUGUGUGCAGCAGGGGGACUAGGAGGAGCACCAAGGCGGUCUCCCCCGCCUGGAUCAUCUGGUCCCCAAGCCCAGACAUAGUCCCAGCGGCUUCUGACUGGCCAAAGAAGCCCCUCAACCCCAGGAUGCAGGGGUGUCUUGGUGAAGCUAACUCCACCUCCCCAGAAGCCCUGUAAGGAAGAACCUGAGCAGGCCAUUUUAAAGAUGAGGAUACAGAGGCCUGAAAGGGCAGGGCCAGGUCACCCAGCAGGGAAGGCUGUGGUGUGAUUCUUAUCCAUCAACCCAGACCCAGCCAGAUGUGUCAGUGCUGCCCUAAAACAAGCCUCACCUCACCUCUUGGGCCACCCUGACCCCACACCUCAUGGUAUCCUCCCACCGAGGGCACAAGGGCUUCCCCCCUACGCCCUGUCUACCAGGCACCAACCCGGACUCCAGGGAUUCUCAAAGACCCCACAACGGGUAGGAGAGGAGGUGCAGAACCCUCCCCCAACACACACACAUACACACCAAGAAAAGGCAAACACAAACGCACUCCCACACCAACCCCCCCAACACACACACACACACACACACACACACACGGCAGGAAAAAGCAAAGAAAGGCAGAGGUCAGAACCCGCCCCAGGGCUUCCGAAGCCCCAGGCAGCCUGUUUAGCCAGCAGGUGAGACGGCCACGCCGUCCCUGUCUCUGAGGUAAGUGGUCUCAGCACAGGCCUGCCAAGCAGGUCACUUACUCCGUAGGGCCGCAGUCACGACUGGCAGCAGCCCUGGAGGUGGGUGCUCAGGGCCUGAGAACUUCACCGUGUGAAUUUCAGGCUGACCAGGUGCAUCAUGCACAGAGCCAGGUGCACUGAGGGGCUACCUCCGCACCCGGAGUGGCAAGCUCGCCCCCCACGCGCAGCCGCGAAUCUGGAGGGCAAACCCAAGGGAAAACGAGGCUACCCUCCCCCGGCGCCUAAUGCCCUCCGCCACCCACCACUCACCCGGAACCAGCGCGCAAUCUGUGGUGCACGAACCGUUCCCUCUCACUUCUCCAGGCCUUGGGAGACCCGGUCCCGAGGGGGAAGACGCUUGCGGGCAGCCGGGACACAGGCGGGGCAUCUGGAGCUUUUUGAGUCCACCCGCCCUGCCUCCCACCCCGGGAAGACACAUCAGCUGGCGCUGAGGAAUGCCCUACGGUACUUCCCCCCGCAUGUCCAGGAGCUACUGGCCCUCGAGUUCGUCUAGCAGCUGCAGCUAGCUGUACAGGUACAUCUACAUGUAUCGGUUCUGCCCUGACUUGGAAAUGAAGUGAGUGUGGGGUUGGGGGGGCAAGCUUCAGAGGCCAGAGUGGGGGGAUUGGGGGUGCUUCCCAGAGGUACCCUGCCCAGGUCGGGACGCAGCCAGAGGGGAGUGCAGGCCGUCCACUUUAGGAGGGCUGUGGCCACAUCCCCCGAGGGCCAGGCUUGGGGCUGCAGCUAGCCCUAGGCAGAAGGACCUGCCUUCCUCACAGUCCCCAGGGGAUGCUGCCUAGCCCUGUAUCACAUUCUGAGCACCAUUGUCCUUGAAAACACCAGAAGGCCAGACUGUCUGGAACAACCCCACAAAGCAGGCACCGUGUCCCCUCGCUCCUGUCCAGGCCUGCUGGCCUGGCACCCUCUCCAGAAUUGCUCAGGAGCCCUGGUGGUGCAAAGGAAAGGACAGGUAAAUAAAGUCUGUCAGGAGGGGAAGCUUCA
RNAcentral lists this long non-coding RNA (1847 nucleotides) under Sus scrofa (pig). Its description in RNAcentral is "lncRNA (ENSSSCG00065044926.1)". The record is from RNAcentral. Lineage: Eukaryota; Metazoa; Chordata; Mammalia; Artiodactyla; Suidae.